GUAGGUGGCAAGCGUUGUCCGGAAUUAUUGGGCGUAAAGCGCGCACAGGCGGUUCUUUAAGUCUGAUGUGAAAGCCCACGGCUCAACCGUGGAGGGUCAUUGGAAACUGGAGAACUUGAGUACAGAAGAGGAAAGCGGAAUUCCACGUGUAGCGGUGAAAUGCGUAGAGAUGUGGAGGAACACCAGUGGCGAAGGCGGCUUUCUGGUCUGUAACUGACGCUGAGGCGCGAAAGCGUGGGGAGCAAACAGGAUUAGAUACCCUGGUAGUCCACGCCGUAAACGAUGAGUGCUAAGUGUUAGGGGGGUUUUCCGCCCCCCUUAGUGCUGCAGCUAACGCAUUAAGCACUCCGCCCUGGGAGUACGGCCGCAAGGCUG
This 375-nucleotide ribosomal RNA is filed under the name uncultured organism. RNAcentral's name for it is "partial 16S ribosomal RNA". It matches the Rfam family "Bacterial small subunit ribosomal RNA", at positions 527 to 896 of the family's 1533-position model. The record is from RNAcentral.